CAACUGCCUCCGGCGCCGGCCCCGCAUCGGUCGUGCUCGUGCUCCCAGCUGGCCAUACCCCUGGACCCCUGCAAGCUGCCUGAUGGAUGGAUUGCCUCUCCUUCUCUCCCAGUCCGCAAUUGGCCACAAACUCCCCACCCCACCCCGCGUUGUCUUUUCCACGUCCGGCGAGGUGAUGACGCAGCUCCGCCAUGGCCCAGGUUAUCACGCCCUCCGCAGGAGGUGGCGCGGGGCGGCGGUGCCUCCGCGUCCGCGCCAACUCCCCCGGCCCGGGCGACCAUGCGCUUCGCCGCCUCGUCAGCACCGCAUCCUGCCGCCGUCGCGCGCUCGCUUCCCGCUUCCGGCCGCUCUCUAGGUAAAUCCGAACCGAGCGUUCAUAUCGAGCUUGGCGUAUUUUUAGAGAAAAUUAGUGGACUGCCAUUAGUUGAUUUCAACAUCAGUACACUAAUUCACAUGUCAUGAAUCUUUUACAAUUUGGGGAAAGUAAUUCACCAUUC
This is a long non-coding RNA of Triticum dicoccoides, 497 nucleotides long. RefSeq lists it as uncharacterized. NCBI's taxonomy places the organism in Eukaryota, Viridiplantae, Streptophyta, Magnoliopsida, Poales, Poaceae. The transcript has 2 exons. The record is from RefSeq and is a predicted model, not a curated record.